ACGGAGGGGGCUAGCGUUGUUCGGAUUUACUGGGCGUAAAGCGCGCGUAGGCGGCACGUCAAGUUAGAGGUGAAAGCCCUGGGCUCAACCUAGGAACUGCCUUUAAUACUGACGAGCUAGAGGCCGGAAGAGGGUGACGGAAUUCCCAGUGUAGAGGUGAAAUUCGUAGAUAUUGGGAAGAACACCAGUGGCGAAGGCGGUCACCUGGUCCGGUACUGACGCUGAGGUGCGAAAGCGUGGGGAGCAAACAGG
This 252-nucleotide ribosomal RNA is filed under the name uncultured bacterium. RNAcentral's name for it is "partial 16S ribosomal RNA". It matches the Rfam family "Bacterial small subunit ribosomal RNA", at positions 525 to 776 of the family's 1533-position model. The record is from RNAcentral.